This 628-nucleotide ribosomal RNA is filed under the name bacterium c1cb11. RNAcentral describes it as "bacterial SSU rRNA". It matches the Rfam family "Bacterial small subunit ribosomal RNA", at positions 831 to 1459 of the family's 1533-position model. The record is from RNAcentral.
CUUGAGCCGUGGCUUUCGGAGCUAACGCGUUAAGUAGACCGCCUGGGGAGUACGGUCGCAAGAUUAAAACUCAAAUGAAUUGACGGGGGCCCGCACAAGCGGUGGAGCAUGUGGUUUAAUUCGAUGCAACGCGAAGAACCUUACCUACUCUUGACAUCCAGAGAACUUAGCAGAGAUGCUUUGGUGCCUUCGGGAACUCUGAGACAGGUGCUGCAUGGCUGUCGUCAGCUCGUGUUGUGAAAUGUUGGGUUAAGUCCCGCAACGAGCGCAACCCUUAUCCUUGUUUGCCAGCACUUCGGGUGGGAACUCCAGGGAGACUGCCGGUGAUAAACCGGAGGAAGGUGGGGACGACGUCAAGUCAUCAUGGCCCUUACGAGUAGGGCUACACACGUGCUACAAUGGCGCAUACAGAGGGCGGCCAACUUGCGAAAGUGAGCGAAUCCCAAAAAGUGCGUCGUAGUCCGGAUUGGAGUCUGCAACUCGACUCCAUGAAGUCGGAAUCGCUAGUAAUCGUGGAUCAGAAUGCCACGGUGAAUACGUUCCCGGGCCUUGUACACACCGCCCGUCACACCAUGGGAGUGGGCUGCAAAAGAAGUGGGUAGUUUAACCUUCGGGAGGACGCUCACCA